This 465-nucleotide ribosomal RNA is filed under the name uncultured bacterium. Its description in RNAcentral is "partial 16S ribosomal RNA". It matches the Rfam family "Bacterial small subunit ribosomal RNA", at positions 28 to 507 of the family's 1533-position model. The record is from RNAcentral.
GACGAACGCUGGCGGCGUGCUUAACACAUGCAAGUCGAACGGAAAGGCCCCCUUGUGGGGUACUCGAGUGGCGAACGGGUGAGUAACACGUGAGUAACCUACCCUUGACUUUGGGAUAACUUCAGGAAACUGGGGCUAAUACCGGAUAGGAGCUCCUGCUGCAUGGUGGGGGUUGGAAAGUUUCGGCGGUAGGGGAUGGACUCGCGGCUUAUCAGCUUGUUGGUGGGGUAGUGGCUCACCAAGGCUUUGACGGGUAGCCGGCCUGAGAGGGUGACCGGCCACAUUGGGACUGAGAUACGGCGCAGACUCCUACGGGAGGCAGCAGUGGGGAAUAUUGCACAAUGGGCGGAAGCCUAAUGCAGCAACGCCGCGUGCGGGAUGACGGCCUUCGGGUUGUAAACCGCUUUCGCCUGUGACGAAGCGUGAGUGACGGUAAUGGGUAAAGAAGCACCGGCUAACUACGUG